RNAcentral lists this transfer RNA (85 nucleotides) under Streptomyces subrutilus. RNAcentral's name for it is "tRNA-Arg". Lineage: Bacteria; Bacillati; Actinomycetota; Actinomycetes; Kitasatosporales; Streptomycetaceae. The record is from RNAcentral.
CGAGGGCGGGGUGGUCGUCCCGCCCCGCUACGACCGCGGCGACUGGCGCGAGGGCGACGGGGUGUUCCACGCCGACGCCCUCGCC